This is a long non-coding RNA of Chrysemys picta bellii (western painted turtle), 788 nucleotides long. RefSeq lists it as uncharacterized. The record is from RefSeq and is a predicted model, not a curated record. Lineage: Eukaryota; Metazoa; Chordata; Testudines; Emydidae.
AGGGCACUGUUGGCUCUUGUAUUCCAAUGAAGGCUCAGGUCUAAAAUGGGCCAGGGCAAGCUCUCAGACCACGUGGGUACCCAUAAGUAUCCCCUGAAACACCUCUACCUGCUGGUGUGCUAGAAAUUGGAGAAGGAAGGAAAUGAAGGACCAAAAUUUCAAGAUGUUCAUCGAAGUACUUCUAACACCCUUGGGAAUGAGGGCUCUGAACCAGAAAGAGUUACCAUGCAGCUAUUCUGCCAGGAGACUACAUUGUAGCAACAGGGAAUCAUAGGCCCUCACAGGGAAGCAUUUACUUUUGCAAUGGGACUGGAACGGGUGAUAUCAGGACUUAAGAGAGAGAUGAUAGCAGGUGGCAGCAUAUGAGAAGCUGCCAGAUGGUGUGGAGCAAAGUACUAUUUAUACCACAUUAUAGGCUUCUCUGUUUAAUAUACUAUGGUGGUUAAAAAUCAUUACUGAAUUUUGAACCCUUUAUUUUAUGAAAUUUGACCCUUUUGAUCUCUGCAUCUCCCAUUGAAAUCUAUGUGAGACUUUCCACAGAAGUCAUGGGAAGGUAGGUUGGAUCCAAGUUGCAUUCAAAAAUGUUUCACUGCAUGACUUGCAGAAAUGGCCAGAGGUUCUCUGAAAUUUCUUUUGGCUUAUUAAUUUAUAAGAUGCACUUCCUUGUAAAUCCAUUUCUAUGAAAUAUUACUGCUUUUGAAAAAUAAAACUGAUUUUGUUUUCAACUGGGGACACAAGUGUUCUGUUGAAAAUGUGUUGCCAUUCUUGUGCAAAUGUAUGUUAAUACU